UAGUAUAAUACAUUGAGACAUAGAAGAAUAUGAUUUGUCAGUUAAUGCAUCUUAGAUCUGAGAUAUGACGUCCAAAAAAGGGUCAACUUGAACAGAGACUUUGCUGCUGAAUGUAUUAGCCGCCGGCAGUACACCCAAGACUUUGCAGGAAUCCAAUUGUAUUUGAAGAACGGUUGCCAUUACCUGAACACAAAUCUUUACCUAGAAAAAAAAUAUAUUAGUUUAUACUUCUACACCAGAAGUCCUUGGAAGUUGGAAGUUUGGAAAGCAAUUACAAAAUAUUCUGUGUGAACAAUAACGGCUGUAUUUCCAGACUGAUGUG
Magallana angulata is the source of this 322-nucleotide long non-coding RNA. RefSeq lists it as uncharacterized. NCBI's taxonomy places the organism in Eukaryota, Metazoa, Mollusca, Bivalvia, Ostreida, Ostreidae. The transcript has 3 exons. The record is from RefSeq and is a predicted model, not a curated record.